AACGCACAUUGCGCCCGCUAGCAUUCUAGCGGGCAUGCCUGUUCGAGCGUCACUAAGCACCCCUCGGGCCCCGUCGCCCGGCGUUGGGAGCUUGCGGGGGCUGGCCCAGCCCGCCCCCGCAACUCCUCAAAUCCAGUGGCGGAGCCGGGCCGGUCUCCCGGGCGCAGUAAUCCAAUUCCUCGCCUCCGGAGCCGGCCUCGGCCCCCAGCCGUUAAACCACCACUCCUUAUACAGGGCUGACCUCGAAUCAGGUAGGAGUACCCGCUGAACUUAA
This 274-nucleotide unclassified non-coding RNA is filed under the name uncultured fungus. RNAcentral describes it as "partial contains 5.8S ribosomal RNA, internal transcribed spacer 2, and large subunit ribosomal RNA". The record is from RNAcentral. Lineage: Eukaryota; Fungi.